UGGGGAAUAUUGCACAAUGGGCGAAAGCCUGAUGCAGCAACGCCGCGUGAGUGAUGAAGGCCUUCGGGUUGUAAAGCUCUGUCUUUUGGGACGAUAAUGACGGUACCAAAGGAGGAAGCCACGGCUAACUACGUGCCAGCAGCCGCGGUAAUACGUAGGUGGCAAGCGUUGUCCGGAUUUACUGGGCGUAAAGGAUGCGUAGGCGGAUUUUUAAGUGAGAUGUGAAAUACCCGGGCUUAACUUGGGUGCUGCAUUUCAAACUGGGAAUCUAGAGUGCGGGAGAGGAGAAUGGAAUUCCUAGUGUAGCGGUGAAAUGCGUAGAGAUUAGGAAGAACACCAGUGGCGAAGGCGAUUCUCUGGACCGUAACUGACGCUGAGGCAUGAAAGCGUGGGUAGCAAACAGGAUUAGAUACCCUGGUAGUCCACGCCGUAAACGAUGAGUACUAGGUGUAGGAGGUAUCGACCCCUUCUGUGCCGCAGUUAACACAAUAAGUACUCCGCCUGGGAAGUACGAUCGCAAGAUUAAAACUCAAAGGAAUGACGGGGUCAUAGCUGUUUCC
RNAcentral lists this ribosomal RNA (560 nucleotides) under uncultured bacterium. Its description in RNAcentral is "partial 16S ribosomal RNA". It matches the Rfam family "Bacterial small subunit ribosomal RNA", at positions 355 to 937 of the family's 1533-position model. The record is from RNAcentral.